Molecule: non-coding RNA, 100 nt
Organism: Acanthosepion pharaonis
Lineage: Eukaryota; Metazoa; Mollusca; Cephalopoda; Sepiida; Sepiidae
Source: the annotation of a GenBank genome assembly
CACUAAAAGACCAGUUCCCAUAUGAACACUGAAAUUAAGCAACAUUGAGACUGGUCAGUACAUAGAUGGGUGACUACUUGGGAAUACAAAGUGCUGUAAG